This 254-nucleotide ribosomal RNA is filed under the name uncultured bacterium. Its description in RNAcentral is "partial 16S ribosomal RNA". It matches the Rfam family "Bacterial small subunit ribosomal RNA", at positions 524 to 776 of the family's 1533-position model. The record is from RNAcentral.
UACGAAGGGUGCAAACGUUGCUCGGAAUUAUUGGGCGUAAAGCGCACGUAGGCGGCUUUGCAAGUCGGGUGUGAAAAUCCCCUGGCUUAACCUGGGAACUGCAUUCGAGACUGCAUUGCUAGAGUAUGGGAGAGGGAAGUGGAAUUUCCGGUGUAGCGGUGAAAUGCGUAGAUAUCGGAAGGAACAUCAGUGGCGAAAGCGACUUCCUGGACCAAUACUGACGCUCAUGUGCGAAAGCGUGGGGAGCAAACAGG